Non-coding RNA from Malus domestica (apple), 501 nucleotides. Lineage: Eukaryota; Viridiplantae; Streptophyta; Magnoliopsida; Rosales; Rosaceae. The record is from RefSeq and is a predicted model, not a curated record.
ACACACUGCUGCUUGCACUGGUGCCCCUUGUGCCAUGAGCACAGGGAGAUGAGGGAUAACCCCAAAGAUGUUGGGUUUAGUCACACUACAGUGUAACACUGGUCAAUUGAAGCUGCUGCUCCACUGUUAUUAACAGCCGUUAGCGGCGAUUGUUGGUCGUUGGGAGAAGGUGAAAUCUAUUGCUGAGCUACCUCAACUCUCUUCAGAACACAAGGCAGCCAGCAACCACUGAAAGCCAAUUGCCGUGUACACUCAAAAUGUUGCAGAGUGCAGGAAGUUAUGGAUUUUCUGAGUUCUGAAAGCGAAUUAAGAGUGCUGCAAGUCAGAAAUGACGUUACACGAGGAUGUGUCUUCGGGGCCAAGGAAGCGAAGGACGACACAUUUUGUUGUAUAGUUCCUAACUAGUAAUUAUGUAAAGGCUAGUAGUAUUGCAUUCGUUUAUUCUUUUUGCUCAUUAUUGCAAUAAGAAGCCCAAGCUGAAGAGAAAUAACAGGUUGAGUG